UAGGGAAUCUUCGGCAAUGGGGGCAACCCUGACCGAGCAACGCCGCGUGAGUGAAGAAGGUUUUCGGAUCGUAAAGCUCUGUUGUAAGUCAAGAACGGGUGUGAGAGUGGAAAGUUCACACUGUGACGGUAGCUUACCAGAAAGGGACGGCUAACUACGUGCCAGCAGCCGCGGUAAUACGUAGGUCCCGAGCGUUGUCCGGAUUUAUUGGGCGUAAAGCGAGCGCAGGCGGUCUGAUAAGUCUGAAGUUAAAGGCUGUGGCUCAACCAUAGUUCGCUUUGGAAACUGUCAAACUUGAGUGCAGAAGGGGAGAGUGGAAUUCCAUGUGUAGCGGUGAAAUGCGUAGAUAUAUGGAGGAACACCGGUGGCGAAAGCGGCUCUCUGGUCUGUAACUGACGCUGAGGCUCGAAAGCGUGGGGAGCGAACAGG
Molecule: ribosomal RNA, 429 nt
Filed under: bacterium
Lineage: Bacteria
Description: partial 16S ribosomal RNA
Rfam family: Bacterial small subunit ribosomal RNA
Source: RNAcentral